AAUUAUAGCAUGGAUAAUAAACGAUUAUCAUGAACUAAGAAAUAUAAUAAUAACUAAUUUAUUAUUGCCACUAGGGCAUAUUUCCAACAGUCUCCCACUUGCACUAGUGUCAAUAAUCUAGUUCACAUCACCAUGUGAUUCCAACGAAUCCAACACCCAUACAGUUAUGGGGUCUGAUCACGUCUUGCUCGUGAGAGAGGUUUUAGUCAACGGUUCUGAAACUUUCAGAUCCGUGCGUUCUUUACAAAUAUUUAUGUCAUCUUAUAGAUGCUGCUACUACGUGCUAUUCAGAAAUACUGCAAAUAUCUACUCUACUAUACGAAUCCGUUUCACUACUCAUAGUUAUUCGGAUUAGUGUCAAAGCUUGCAUCGACGUAACCCUUUACGACGAACUCUUCAACCACCUCCAUAAUCGAGAAAAAUUCCUUAGUCCAUUAGUUACUAAGGAUAAAUUUUGACCGCUGCUAGUGAUUCAAUCAAGGAUCACUCUCUGUACCUCUCAACAGACUUUGAGUCAAGGCACACAUCAGGUGCGGUACACAGCAUGGCAUACUUUAGAUACUACGGCUAAGGCAUAGAAGACGACCUUCGUCUAUUCUCUUUAUUCUGUCGUGGUCGGGUUUUUUGAGUCUUACUCAAAUUUACACCUUACAACGCAACCAAGAACUCCUUCUUUGCUGAUCUAUUUUGAACUCCUUCAAAAACUUGUCAAGGCAUGCAUCUUAUUGAAACUUUCAUCAAGCGCUUUUGAUCUAUCUCCAUAGAUCUUUGAUGCUCAACGUUCAAGUAGCACAAUCCAGGUAUUCCUUUGAAAACUCCUUUCAAACAACCUUGUAUACUUUACAGAAAUUCUACAUUACUUAUGAUCCACAAUAUGUCAACCACAUAUACUUAUCAGAAAUUCUAUAGUGCUCCCACUCACUUCUUUGGAAAUACAAGUUUCUCAUAAACCUUGUACAAACCCAAAAUCUUUGAUCAUCUCACCAAAGUGUAUAUUCCAACUCCGAGAUGCUUGCACCAAUCCAUUGAAGGAUCACUUGGAGCUUGCAUACUUGCUAGUAUCUUUAGGAUCGACAAAACCUUCUGGUUGUA
Molecule: long non-coding RNA, 1092 nt
Filed under: Hordeum vulgare
Lineage: Eukaryota; Viridiplantae; Streptophyta; Magnoliopsida; Poales; Poaceae
Description: long non-coding RNA (HVUL_LNC009724)
Source: RNAcentral